UACGAAGGGGGCUAGCGUUGCUCGGAAUCACUGGGCGUAAAGCGCACGUAGGCGGAUCUUUAAGCCAGGGGUGAAAUCCCAAGGCUCAACCUUGGAACUGCCUUUGAUACUGGGGAUCUCGAGUCCGGAAGAGGUUGGUGGAACUGCGAGUGUAGAGGUGAAAUUCGUAGAUAUUCGCAAGAACACCAGUGGCGAAGGCGGCCAACUGGUCCGGUACUGACGCUGAGGUGCGAAAGCGUGGGGAGCAAACAGG
RNAcentral lists this ribosomal RNA (253 nucleotides) under uncultured bacterium. RNAcentral describes it as "partial 16S ribosomal RNA". It matches the Rfam family "Bacterial small subunit ribosomal RNA", at positions 524 to 776 of the family's 1533-position model. The record is from RNAcentral.